Molecule: non-coding RNA, 158 nt
Organism: Camellia sinensis
Lineage: Eukaryota; Viridiplantae; Streptophyta; Magnoliopsida; Ericales; Theaceae
Source: RefSeq, a predicted model, not a curated record
AGGUGAUGUUCAACACUGAUGGUUCUGCAUUUCCAGAGACUUUUUACUUAGGUGCAAAGAGAGCACGUGAAGUUGUCUUCUCUGUUCUACGUGAUGCAUGUAUUGAUGGUGAUCUUUCCAUUCCUGAAGCCAUUGAAGUAGCCAAAGACAUAUUUUCA